Molecule: long non-coding RNA, 563 nt
Filed under: Lepidothrix coronata (blue-crowned manakin)
Lineage: Eukaryota; Metazoa; Chordata; Aves; Passeriformes; Pipridae
Description: lncRNA (ENSLCOG00000001339.1)
Source: RNAcentral
AUACAUUCCAGCAGGCUUGUGGAGACUGUGCUGCAGCCCACAAACCUACCAGAAGACAGGUUUGCUGCAUCUGCUUUGGCAUGAAGUAACUGGACUCUAUUAAGUGGCUUCCCAAGUCUCCUAAACUGUACAGUGGUCAUAACUGGAGCUCUCAGGGCUCUCGCUGGGCCUCGUUGAAAGGAAAGGAAAGUUUUCAUGGUGGUAACCUGUACAAAUUCAGCUCUGCUAAUGGAAAAUGGAGGGAAGGAAGGAGCAGUCCUGAGCAAGAAGCAGAGGAACUCGAGGAUCCUGAUGAUGAACCUAUUUCCAAGUUUUCCGGCAGUCUUUUUGAUAGCAAUGGUGGCAUGAGAGAUCAAAGAAAUACCAGAACAACUCUUCAAGAAAAGCACAAGUUGGCAAUGAAAGGGAAGAAUCCUCCAGGGACUAACACUAAGGUGCAGCCAGCUGUCUCCUCAGCAGGCAGCUUCCCCAGUGAGAGCAGCCGGAUCCCAGAGGAACUGAGGGUGAUGGAUGUACCACAGACCCCACUGAAGGUAUUGAACUGCUGCAUGGGCUGGGCUUGC